UUUUGGGGGGGGGGGGGGGUCCUGAUUGAUGAAAGCUACAGGGAAUUACUGGAUUUGCAUUGCAAGGUCACCUUAUUGAGCGACAAAGGCAGAAGAGCUAAAUUUUUACAGCUGGAGCAUAAUUGAGGGAGUAAGUAAAGCAGAGUGUAUAUAUUAAUAUGUAAAUAUAUCAUUUAUCUUUAAAAUAUUGCUUCUAGAUUAUUCCAGGAUCACAUACGAUGAUUGAGGUAUGCAUACAUAGGCAGUAUUGUUACUCCCUCUUUUUGAUGUAUGAGAUUGUAUAUAGAUCUGUAAGAUCUUGUAAUGCUGCCCCCACCCACAGGCUAGAAGUUGCUGUGGGGUUGAGGAAUCUUGCUGAGGAAAUAUAGUGAGCAGAUCAGUUUAUAGCAUUCUAUUCUCUCUUCUGAGUUUGUCCUGGAGUGUUGACUGGCUGACUUUUUAAUCUCCACUCAGAAUUGUGGAUCAAAGAUUAAUAAAAAAUGGAGAUCACAUUGUAUUUUGCAUUUAGGGCUUUUGGCUGGGAGAUAAUUCAGUUUUGAACAGUUUAUUAAUGUCUCAAAUUCUACGUAGGUUCAUGUUUAUGGAUUACAAUUGAGUAAAGGCUACAAUGAUAAUUCAAUAAGCUAAAUUACAGAUUCAAGUAACCAACUCUCACCAUGAUCUCACGAAUCCGCAUUUCUAAUGCAGUAAAUCCUUAAUAAAUUAAUAAUCCAUUAUUCUAUGAAAAUUUUCUUUAUCAUUAAUCUGGAAAUUGUGAUAUUCAUAACAGCCAAAAAAAUGGACGGGGGAUGUAAUGUGCUUAGUCAAUUAUGUAGCCAUUAAGACUAAGUAGUCAAAGGUUUCAUGCCUUAAAACUCUAUGCACAAUUUCUUUAUGAUAAGCUAAAAAGUGUGUAUAUUGUAUACGAUUGAUGCAUCUAGAGAUUGUCUUUUCCUCAUUUAGUUAAACAUAAUUCUUCGCAAGAACUCUACUCAAGUGACCCAAAAAAUAACACAUCAAUCGCUUUUUAUUUGAAAGGUGUUAUGAAACCAAUUGUGUUCAUUUGAUCACUAAUUGUGUUUGAAGUUGCACAAAGAUUAUCGUACGGUUGAACACAAAGUUCCAGCUCAACACUGAAUGCAAAACUCAGAAGUCUAGCUACCACGGAUUAGGAACGACCCAGAAGGGAAGUGGUUCAAUCUUCAAUCUAUGAUAAUGAUCAUCAAAAUAUUGGGGCCCCAGGAGACAACCCUUAUCAUGACCACCAAAAGAGGGAUUGUUGUAAAUUGAUUCCCCAGAAUCGUCAUCCGUAAAGUAGAUUAAACUGUUUCUUAUUCUGAAAGAAUCUUUGGUGGAGACUGACAGUCAGUGAUUUCCACCCAGAAAGUAAACACGAUCUCGGCAGUCAUGGCUACGGAUUCAAGGUAAGUUUUUCUACUUUGUUUGAACUCAAAACCCAUCUUCCAAAUUCUGAAUUUCGUUGUCCUGUGUACAGAUCCUAAAUUUGAAACAUAAGAGUUGGUGGGGGGUGCGCCAGGCCCGUGCCGUAGUGCAACGCAUGGGCGACGCUCAGGGCUCACAGUAGCAAGCUACUGCAAUGAGCCCUCCCCUUUAAAAAUUAAUUUAAUAUCGUGUGGAUCG
RNAcentral lists this long non-coding RNA (1620 nucleotides) under Citrus sinensis (sweet orange). Its description in RNAcentral is "long non-coding RNA (CSIN_LNC003885)". The record is from RNAcentral. Lineage: Eukaryota; Viridiplantae; Streptophyta; Magnoliopsida; Sapindales; Rutaceae.